AACUCUAUUGAGACUGCCAGCGACAAGCUGGAGGAAGGUGGGGAUGACGUCAAAUCAUCAUGCCCUUUAUGACCUGGGCUACAAACGUAAUACAAUGGCGUAUACGAAGGGAUGCGAAAGGGCGACCUGGAGCAAAACUCACAAAGUACGUCUCAGUUCAGAUUGGAGUCUGCAACUCGACUCCAUGAAGGCGGAAUCGCUAGUAAUCGCGGAUCAGCAUGCCGCGGUGAAUACGUUCUCGGGUUU
This 246-nucleotide ribosomal RNA is filed under the name uncultured Erysipelothrix sp. RNAcentral's name for it is "partial 16S ribosomal RNA". It matches the Rfam family "Bacterial small subunit ribosomal RNA", at positions 1136 to 1381 of the family's 1533-position model. The record is from RNAcentral. Lineage: Bacteria; Bacillati; Bacillota; Erysipelotrichia; Erysipelotrichales; Erysipelotrichaceae.